This 1680-nucleotide ribosomal RNA is filed under the name Triticum aestivum (bread wheat). RNAcentral describes it as "partial small subunit ribosomal RNA". The record is from RNAcentral. Lineage: Eukaryota; Viridiplantae; Streptophyta; Magnoliopsida; Poales; Poaceae.
AUGGACACCGCCAUAGGCGCGGCCAAGUGGGUGCUGGGCAAGGCACUGGCCCCGGUCACAGAUGGCUUGCUAGAGUCCUGGGCGGCUAGUGCCGAUCUAGAUCGCAACAUCGACGCCCUCAAGAUGGAGCUACUGUAUGCACAUGGGAUGCUCGAGAACGUGCAGGGCAGGGGCAUCCAUGGCGUCGCGCUCAAGGAGCUCCUGCACAAGCUGCAGCAGCUCGCGUACGGGGCUGAUGAUGUGCUGGAUGAGCUGGAGUACUUCCGCAUCCAGGACUCACUUAAAGGAACCUACCAUGCCGCCGGUGUGAACGAUGUGUGUUGCAUCCAAGGCAUCCGCACCAAUAUUGAACACACGGCGAGACAUGCCAUCAGCAAACUCAAGUGCCUCCCGUGCUUGGGUGCUGCUAGCCGUGGUGGUGACCAAGAAAUUGAUCCAGGUGAUCACCAAGAUUAUGACCUCUUAGGCAUACGCUUGCGUGGCAGGCGGGGCAUCGGCUCCUCGCCAUUGACACCCACCAACAAGGCAGGUGUCAAUAAAGUUGAUGGUGGAUGCAUGCCCAGGGUCAUCUCAAGUGCUCGCAACGCUGCCCACACUUUCGGUAAACACUUUCCAUGCUAUUCUUCCAUAUCUGUCCAUGGUGAUGGUGCUCAAGCUAUCAUGUCUGAGUGUGCAAGCGAGAGAGAUAUAGAAACAAAAGAAUUGAUGUUUGAUAGGGUGCAAAUGUCUCGAACAAUGAUUGACAUGGUAGGGCAGCUGAAGGAAGUAUGUGCUAAGGUCUCCAUAAUUCUUAAUCUAGAUUUGUUGGGAUCCAGCCACAACCGUACCCAAGAAAUUGCUAUAAAAAGAUCAAAAACCACAUCAGAGAUUAUAGAAUAUGAGUUAUAUGGGAGGGAUGACCAAAAAAGGAAAAUUAAAAAUGGCAUUAUUAGUCAUGAGUACUGUCCCAAACAACUUAACGUGCUUCCAAUUUUCGGACCAGGGGGUAUUGGAAAAACAACUUUUACGCAACACAUAUGCCAAGAAGUGAAUAGCUCUUUCCAGGCUUCAAUUUGGAUUUGUGUCUCUCUCGAUUUCAAUGCAGAUAGGUUGGCACAAGAGAUAGUCAACAAAAUCGAUAGAGUUGAUGAUGAAAAGCAGAAUGCUAGUGUUGAAGAACUUAUCAAACAAAGAUUAAAAGCUAAGAGAUUUUUACUCGUCUUGGAUGAUGUGUGGGUAUAUCAAGAGGAUGAGUGGGAAAAACUAAUGGCACCUUUCAGAAAGGUAGAGUCCAAGGGUAAUUUGAUUGUAGUCACAACUCGAAUACCAAAGGUAGCAGAAAUGGUUAGGACAACCAAUCAUAAAAUAGAACUGGAAAGACUGGGUGAUGCAGAUACCAUGCGUUUCUUUGAAGCAUGUGUAUUUGGUAACGAGCUACAACCAUGGGAAAAACAUUAUGAAUUAUCUGAGACUGGUCGUGAAGUAGUGCGCCAUUUGAAAGGUUCCCCUCUUGCAACUAAAACUGUAGGCAGAUUACUAAGAAAUCAACUUACUUUGGACCAUUGGGAAAGAAUACUAGAAAGCAAAGAAUGGGAACUAGAAACCAGUGAGAGUGACAUCAUGCCAGCCCUCAAACUUAGCUUUGAUUUUCUCCCUUUCCAUCUAAAACAGUUGUUUGUAUAUUGUGCUUUGUUUCCUUAA